AUACAAUAGAAGUCUCUUGCACUGGUUACAAUGGAUGUUGGAUAGGGUCCUAAAGGAAAAUGGAGACAUUUAUCCAAUGAAGCACUUAAACAUGAGAAUAGUCUCACUUAAAUCUCAUUGAAAACCUCUUAGUUUUGAUUUCAGCAGGAUAAUUUGCAGGAUGAGCAAUGACUCUAUGAUCAGGGAUAACAGAACAAGGCCUCGGGUGCCAUACACCUGGAGCAGACCUUUGUGCCAAGGACUGCAGAGUCUGCUCCUCAUCUUUGAACAGCUGCAGUGGCUGAAGCAGAGCUGAGGAGGAGCUGCCAAGCCAGGGUAUGGGGUGGAAGAAACACAAAAUGAAGAAACUACAUAUUAAUUGCUGAGAAGAGUCCAAGAGCAGAACAGGUACUGAGAAGGUGCUCUAAGGUUUCUCUUGAGCCUUCUUUCCUGCAGUCUCAACAACCACAACACUCUGUCUCCACAGGAAAGACCCUUCAGCUCUCUGAUCAUCUUCAGGGACAAAGUUCAAAUGACAGC
Motacilla alba alba is the source of this 519-nucleotide long non-coding RNA. RefSeq lists it as uncharacterized. The transcript is spliced from 3 exons. The record is from RefSeq and is a predicted model, not a curated record. Lineage: Eukaryota; Metazoa; Chordata; Aves; Passeriformes; Motacillidae.